UCAUCCUCAGACAUAGAGUCCGAUGGGCAAGAUUGCCUGGACCAGUAUCUUCCUCUCUGUUCUUUUACAGGAACACUGUUCAGCCAUAUUUCCUAUUCGUGGGAGGGAAAUGGACCACGUACAGGAUGCUGCACGUCAGAGUGAAACAGAAAGACCUUCCCGAAGAAAGUUUUGUCUACAAGAGAUGAGGCAGGGAGAUUGAUCUAAAUCACCUAUGCAACUAAUUUAACUAAACUUGGCAAUGAAGUCCCAAAGUUUUCCUUGUCAACACAUCAUCAUCGUGUAUACAUUAAACUGAAAUGUUUUAAGAUAUUUAAUUAUGUUUUACCUAAAGAAGAUGGGAAGCUUCCAUAUCCACUCCAGGAAUUCUAAGGAAAUACAAGUAGUUCAAAUUCCUUUAUUUAAUAUAAAAUGCCUGUCCCAUCAUGGUUUCAAUCUACCUCUUCAGCACAUUUUCUGAAUGUACCCUAAACUCCAACCAUUAAAAACUGGCAACCCUUCCUCAGAUGCGUUAUACUUUUUAAUGGCCUAGUGUCUUGAUGUUGCUGUUCUGGCUCUUGGGGGGUUGUUAUGUGAACUAUGGACACAUACAGGAAGAAAUGCUUAUGUGACCUGAGGAAUUAACACUAGGAACUGAUCUAAAUACCUUGCCAGGCACUUGACAUCAGUAGCAUCAUCUAAUCAUCCCAACAGACAUGUGG
RNAcentral lists this long non-coding RNA (701 nucleotides) under Vulpes vulpes (red fox). Its description in RNAcentral is "lncRNA (ENSVVUG00000010265.1)". The record is from RNAcentral. Lineage: Eukaryota; Metazoa; Chordata; Mammalia; Carnivora; Canidae.